UUGAAUGCUGAGGUAUCCUAUAAUCAUUUUGGUCAAGGAGAUGAAUUAUAUGAAAACUAUAUCCGCAUGAGUUCUAAGGAUGUUGUUCUACACAUUCGACCUAUCCGACCGUCGGGUACCAUUGCUAGAUGGUCACUUUGAUUGGUAUAGAAAUUUAUUCCUAUGCUAUUAGCUUAGGUUUGAACCUAUGAGGUCAUACACAUUAGAGUUCACGAUC
This 217-nucleotide long non-coding RNA is filed under the name Elaeis guineensis (African oil palm). RNAcentral describes it as "long non-coding RNA (EGUI_LNC044215)". Lineage: Eukaryota; Viridiplantae; Streptophyta; Magnoliopsida; Arecales; Arecaceae. The record is from RNAcentral.